CGCGGCCUAUCAGCUUGUUGGUGGGGUAAUGGCCUACCAAGGCGACGACGGGUAGCCGGCCUGAGAGGGUGACCGGCCACACUGGGACUGAGACACGGCCCAGACUCCUACGGGAGGCAGCAGUGGGGAAUAUUGCACAAUGGGCGCAAGCCUGAUGCAGCGACGCCGCGUGGGGGAUGACGGCCUUCGGGUUGUAAACCUCUUUCACCAUCGGCGAAGCCGGGAGCUUUUGUUUCUGGUGACGGUAGGUGGAGAAGAAGCACCGGCCAACUACGUGCCAGCAGCCGCGGUAAUACGUAGGGUGCGAGCGUUGUCCGGAAUUACUGGGCGUAAAGAGCUCGUAGGUGGUUUGUCGCGUUGUCCGUGAAAUUCCCUGGCUUAACUGGGGGCGUGCGGGCGAUACGGGCAGACUGGAGUACUGCAGGGGAGACUGGAAUUCCUGGUGUAGCGGUGGAAUGCGCAGAUAUCAGGAGGAACACCGGUGGCGAAGGCGGGUCUCUGGGCAGUAACUGACGCUGAGGAGCGAAAGCGUGGGGAGCGAACAGGAUUAGAUACCCUGGUAGUCCACGCCGUAAACGGUGGGUACUAGGUGUGGGUUUCCUUCCUUGGGAUCCGUGCCGUAGCUAACGCAUUAAGUACCCCGCC
Molecule: ribosomal RNA, 645 nt
Filed under: uncultured bacterium
Lineage: Bacteria
Description: bacterial SSU rRNA
Rfam family: Bacterial small subunit ribosomal RNA
Source: RNAcentral